AGAAUAAACGCUGGCGGCAUGCUUAACACAUGCAAGUCGUACGAGAAAGUUCUCUUCGGAGAGCGAGUAAAGUGGCGAACGGGUGAGUAACACGUAAGAACCUGCCCUUUGGUUUGGGAUAACAUCGCGAAAGCGUUGCUAAUACCAAAUAAUGUCUAUGGUCCAAAGAGGGCGAAAGCUCUCACCAGAGGAGGGGCUUGCGUCCCAUUAGCUUGUUGGUGAGGUAACGGCUCACCAAGGCUGCGAUGGGUAGCCGGCCUGAGAGGGUGUCCGGCCACACUGGAACUGAGAUACGGUCCAGACUCCUACGGGAGGCAGCAGUGGGGAAUAUUGGUCAAUGGGCGAAAGCCUGAACCAGCAAUGCCGUGUGGGUGAUGAAGCUUUUCGGAGUGUAAGACCCUUUUAUGAGGAAAGAAGGUUAUCCGGUUAAUACCCGGAUUGCUUGACGGUACCUCAUGAAUAAGCCCCGGCUAACUCCGUGCCAGCCGCCGCGGU
RNAcentral lists this ribosomal RNA (495 nucleotides) under uncultured bacterium. RNAcentral's name for it is "bacterial SSU rRNA". It matches the Rfam family "Bacterial small subunit ribosomal RNA", at positions 26 to 521 of the family's 1533-position model. The record is from RNAcentral.